CAAUCCAUCAUUUACUUGUACAAUACAUAAUUUUCAAAAUAAAUAUGCAGUGCAAAAUAGCAAAUAGCCUUCCUCAAAACACAGAGGCAGCCUAAAAGAUUUACUUACUUUUAGAGGGAAAAAAUACUAACUCAUGGGCAAUAUAAGAGAUGAAUUUUAUGGAAGCACAAGUUAGAUUAACGGUGGAGAAUGUAUCCCAACCAUCAGUCUGGCUCCGAGUUCGUGUUGUUAAAUAGUGCUGCCAUUGACAUCAACUUUGUCUCCAAAAUGAGGAAGACUAUCAUUGCAAAACUCCGUCACUGACCUGUGAUACAGACUCAGAACCGUUCAUCUACAGAAGCCUUCCCCAAGAACCAGUCACGCUUGUCCACCACAGCCAAGAUGAGAUUACCUGUUACGCCUACUUCUUUUAUGGCUUGUAAAGGCAGUUUCUAUUAUUCUGAUUUUACAAACUCAGACCCAAAGAACCUGAGUAACUUGCUCAUCAUCGCCAAACCCGACUAGGUCAAUAAAUCAAACUCAAAGGUGAGGCUUUGCCCACACCAAGAAAGAGUAAUUCAAGAAACGAUGCCCUGAUUCUGUUAAAAU
This 588-nucleotide long non-coding RNA is filed under the name Equus asinus (donkey). RNAcentral describes it as "lncRNA (ENSEASG00005026011.1)". Lineage: Eukaryota; Metazoa; Chordata; Mammalia; Perissodactyla; Equidae. The record is from RNAcentral.